CUCUUUAAGGUGAGAAUCCUUGACAAGCAUGUGGGGCUUAUAUCUAUCUAUAAACAAGGAGACGGACUAAUUUUUAUUAGUACAAGGAGUCGGUUAUAGUAGUAUUAGUGCAGACUUUAAAAUCAUGC
The submitters of this non-coding RNA (128 nucleotides) gave its source as unclassified sequences. The record is from Rfam.